GGUGAGGUGUCCGAGUGGCUGAAGAAGCACGCCUGGAAAGUGUGUAUACGGCAACGUAUCGGGGGUUCGAAUCCCCCCCUCACCGCCA
RNAcentral lists this transfer RNA (88 nucleotides) under Escherichia coli. Its description in RNAcentral is "tRNA-Ser". It matches the Rfam family "tRNA". From Rfam's summary of the family: Transfer RNA (tRNA) molecules are approximately 80 nucleotides in length. Their secondary structure includes four short double-helical elements and three loops (D, anti-codon, and T loops). RNAcentral also lists the same sequence under 1 other name. Lineage: Bacteria; Pseudomonadati; Pseudomonadota; Gammaproteobacteria; Enterobacterales; Enterobacteriaceae. The record is from RNAcentral.